This 381-nucleotide ribosomal RNA is filed under the name uncultured bacterium. RNAcentral describes it as "bacterial SSU rRNA". It matches the Rfam family "Bacterial small subunit ribosomal RNA", at positions 29 to 413 of the family's 1533-position model. The record is from RNAcentral.
AUUGAACGCUGGCGGCAUGCUUUACACAUGCAAGUCGAACGGCAGCGGGGGCUUCGGCCUGCCGGCGAGUGGCGAACGGGUGAGUAAUGCAUCGGAACGUGCCCAGUCAUGGGGGAUAACUACGCGAAAGCGUAGCUAAUACCGCAUACGCCCUGAGGGGGAAAGUGGGGGAUCUUCGGACCUCACGUGAUUGGAGCGGCCGAUGUCAGAUUAGCUAGUUGGUGAGGUAAAGGCUCACCAAGGCGACGAUCUGUAGCGGGUCUGAGAGGAUGAUCCGCCACACUGGGACUGAGACACGGCCCAGACUCCUACGGGAGGCAGCAGUGGGGAAUUUUGGACAAUGGGCGCAAGCCUGAUCCAGCCAUGCCGCGUGAGGUGAAG